UUUUGGAGUCACUUUCCCCCCUUUUUCUGGUCUGUCUUGCAAUGUAGGAGUAUGGUGUAAGUUUAGGAGAUACAUGAAGGAAAUAAGAGUUGAUUGUUCUUGUGGGUAGAAAACUUGAAGGGGAUUGAGGAGUGACCAUAACUCAAGGAUGUGCUAAUUGGAAUGAGUUAUAUUUUGGGAGCAUAACAGGUGAGUGAAUAGCGUCCCA
This is a long non-coding RNA of Neltuma alba, 208 nucleotides long. RefSeq lists it as uncharacterized. The record is from RefSeq and is a predicted model, not a curated record. The transcript has 3 exons. Lineage: Eukaryota; Viridiplantae; Streptophyta; Magnoliopsida; Fabales; Fabaceae.